CAAACCCCAGGGUCUAGAUGGCAGACCACCAGAAUCAGCCAUGGUAACGAAAUCCUUGUUGACAGACUUGUAUUCCUUGCAUCACUUGUAGCCCUCAAGUCUUCAAAUAUUAACAUCAUCUUGGGUAUGGACUGGAUGACAGCUCAUCAUGCCAAGAUUGAUUGUUACACAAGAUCUGUUCAGCUUACACACCCAUCUGGCAAGAUAGUCACCGUCUCCACUAGAGUUGCAAAGCGUCAACUCUAUUCUCUUAAUGCCAGCCCUCUUCCAGACCUUGAAGAUAUCCCGGUAGUCCGUGACUUUCCGGAUGUCUUUCCAGAGGAACUGCCAGGUGUUCCACCUGACAGAGAUGUAGAGUUCGUCAUAGAUCUUAUCCCAGGAACAGCUCCAAUCUCCCGGAGACCUUACAAGAUGGCACCCUUAGAACUAGCCGAGCUUAAGAAACAACUCGAUGAGUCCUUGCAAAAGGGUUUCAUCCGUCCUAGUUCUUCUCCUUGGGCUUGCCCCGUCCUCUUCGUCAAGAAGAAGGAUGGUACGGACCGGAUGGUUGUAGAUUAUCGUCCCGUUAAUUUGGUCACGAUAAAGAACAAGUAUCCGCUUCCCAGGAUCAACGACCUGUAUGAUCAGCUCGCUGGAUCCUCAGUCUUCUCCAAGAUGGAUUUAAGGUUAGGCUACCAUCAAAUCAAGAUCAGAAACGGGGACAUUCCCAAGACAGCUUUUGUCACUCGUUAUGGCCAGUACGAGUACACCGUC
This 753-nucleotide ribosomal RNA is filed under the name Triticum aestivum (bread wheat). RNAcentral's name for it is "partial small subunit ribosomal RNA". The record is from RNAcentral. Lineage: Eukaryota; Viridiplantae; Streptophyta; Magnoliopsida; Poales; Poaceae.